This 253-nucleotide ribosomal RNA is filed under the name uncultured bacterium. Its description in RNAcentral is "partial 16S ribosomal RNA". It matches the Rfam family "Bacterial small subunit ribosomal RNA", at positions 524 to 776 of the family's 1533-position model. The record is from RNAcentral.
UACGUAGGGUGCAAGCGUUGUCCGGAAUUAUUGGGCGUAAAGAGCUCGUAGGCGGUCUGUCGCGUCUGCUGUGAAAACACGGGGCUCAACUCCGUGCCUGCAGUCGAUACGGGCAGACUAGAGUUCGGUAGGGGAGACUGGAAUUCCUGGUGUAGCGGUGAAAUGCGCAGAUAUCAGGAGGAACACCGGUGGCGAAGGCGGGUCUCUGGGCCGAAACUGACGCUGAGGAGCGAAAGCGUGGGGAGCGAACAGG